GACGAACGCUGGCGGCGUGCCUAAUACAUGCAAGUAGAACGCUGAAGGAGGAGCUUGCUCUUCUGGAUGAGUUGCGAACGGGUGAGUAACGCGUAGGUAACCUGCCUGGUAGCGGGGGAUAACUAUUGGAAACGAUAGCUAAUACCGCAUAAGAGUAGAUGUUGCAUGACAUUUACUUAAAAGGUGCAAUUGCAUCACUACCAGAUGGACCUGCGUUGUAUUAGCUAGUUGGUGGGGUAACGGCUUACCAAGGCGACGAUACAUAGCCGACCUGAGAGGGUGAUCGGCCACACUGGGACUGAGACACGGCCCAGACUCCUACGGGAGGCAGCCGUAGGGAAUCUUCGGCAAUGGACGGAAGUCUGACCGAGCAACGCCGCGUGAGUGAAGAAGGUUUUCGGAUCGUAAAGCUCUGUUGUAAGAGAAGAACGAGUGUGAGAGUGGAAAGUUCACACUGUGACGGUAUCUUACCAGAAAGGGACGGCUAACUACGUG
RNAcentral lists this ribosomal RNA (495 nucleotides) under uncultured bacterium. RNAcentral's name for it is "partial 16S ribosomal RNA". It matches the Rfam family "Bacterial small subunit ribosomal RNA", at positions 28 to 507 of the family's 1533-position model. The record is from RNAcentral.